Molecule: ribosomal RNA, 497 nt
Filed under: uncultured bacterium
Lineage: Bacteria
Description: partial 16S ribosomal RNA
Rfam family: Bacterial small subunit ribosomal RNA
Source: RNAcentral
GAUGAACGCUGGCGGCGUGCCUAAUACAUGCAAGUCGAGCGAACAGAUAAGGAGCUUGCUCCUUUGACGUUGGCGGCGGACGGGUGAGUAACACGUGGAUAACCUACCUAUAAGACUGGGAUAACUUCGGGAAACCGGAGCUAAUACCGGAUAACAUAUUGAACCGCAUGGUUCAAUAGUGAAAGGCGGCUUUGCUGUCACUUAUAGAUGGAUCCGCGCCGUAUUAGCUAGUUGGUAAGGUAACGGCUUACCAAGGCAACGAUACGUAGCCGACCUGAGAGGGUGAUCGGCCACACUGGAACUGAGACACGGUCCAGACUCCUACGGGAGGCAGCAGUAGGGAAUCUUCCGCAAUGGGCGAAAGCCUGACGGAGCAACGCCGCGUGAGUGAUGAAGGUCUUCGGAUCGUAAAACUCUGUUAUCAGGGAAGAACAAAUGUGUAAGUAACUGUGCACAUCUUGACGGUACCUGAUCAGAAAGCCACGGCUAACUACGUG